UUCCAUGCUAGGAUCCUC
RNAcentral lists this small nuclear RNA (18 nucleotides) under Arabidopsis thaliana (thale cress). RNAcentral describes it as "snRNA_18900". The record is from RNAcentral. Lineage: Eukaryota; Viridiplantae; Streptophyta; Magnoliopsida; Brassicales; Brassicaceae.